GGACCGAGGAGUCCGACAAGGCGGCGAGCCUACGGCAAACUGAUCGCUGCGGGCGCAGCGAAGGCGCGUGCGCUUCCGCGACGUCCCGUUCGCGCGGGACGUCCGGUCGCGCCGGUGCGAGGCGAUGGCGGCGGCGGUCGGUCGGUUCGUCCGGUCCGGCCGCUCGGCCGCCCGCAGCCUCGAGACGGUCUCGUAUCGCAUUCGAGUCGUACUCGUAGCCGCCGUGUCGGGACCCGAAAGGCGGUGAACUAUACCCGGCCAGGGUGAAGUUAGGGGAAACCCUGAUGCAGGCCCGUCGCGUUUCUAACGUGCAAAUUGAUCGUCUGAGCCGGGUAUAGGGGCGAAAGACCAAUCGAACCGUCUAGUAGCUGGUUCCUUUCGAAGUUUCCCUCAGGAUAGCUGAAACGAGAGUCUAGCGAAUUAGUCGCGUGAGGUAAAGCGAAUGAUUAGAGGCAUUGGGGCUGAAACGGUCUUAACCUAUUCUCAAACUUUCAAUAUGCGCUCGCCGGCGACUUGCGACUCUGCCGGCGGCGCGACUUCGGUCGCGUCGCUCCGGUGCCGAAGUCGACCGGACGAUAGAGCGUUUCUAGUGGGCCAGCCCUGGUAAGCAGGACCGGCGAUGUGGGAUGAACCAAACGCACAAGUUAGAGUGCCGAAAAGUAUGUUAAUCAGAAACCACAAAAGGCGUUAGUAACUAAAGACAGCAGGACGGUGGACAUGGAAGUAGUA
This 729-nucleotide ribosomal RNA is filed under the name Batrisomina sp. JPBO5. Its description in RNAcentral is "LSU rRNA". It matches the Rfam family "Eukaryotic large subunit ribosomal RNA", at positions 663 to 1265 of the family's 3401-position model. Lineage: Eukaryota; Metazoa; Arthropoda; Insecta; Coleoptera; Staphylinidae. The record is from RNAcentral.